This 207-nucleotide ribosomal RNA is filed under the name uncultured bacterium. Its description in RNAcentral is "partial 16S ribosomal RNA". It matches the Rfam family "Bacterial small subunit ribosomal RNA", at positions 568 to 774 of the family's 1533-position model. The record is from RNAcentral.
UGCGUAGGUGGUUGUUUAAGUCUGUAGUGAAAGCCCUGGGCUCAACCUGGGAACUGCAGUGGAAACUGGACGACUAGAGUGUGGUAGAGGGUAGCGGAAUUCCUGGUGUAGCAGUGAAAUGCGUAGAGAUCAGGAGGAACAUCCAUGGCGAAGGCAGCUACCUGGACCAACACUGACACUGAGGCACGAAAGCGUGGGGAGCAAACA